RNAcentral lists this ribosomal RNA (620 nucleotides) under uncultured bacterium. RNAcentral's name for it is "bacterial SSU rRNA". It matches the Rfam family "Bacterial small subunit ribosomal RNA", at positions 338 to 950 of the family's 1533-position model. The record is from RNAcentral.
CCUACGGGAGGCAGCAGUGGGGAAUUUUGGACAAUGGGCGAAAGCCUGAUCCAGCAAUGCCGCGUGUGGGAAGAAGGCCUUCGGGUUGUAAACCACUUUUGUACGGAACGAAAAGGUCUGCUUUAAUAAAGCGGGCUCAUGACGGUACCGUAAGAAUAAGCACCGGCUAACUACGUGCCAGCAGCCGCGGUAAUACGUAGGGUGCGAGCGUUAAUCGGAAUUACUGGGCGUAAAGCGUGCGCAGGCGGUUAUAUAAGACAGUUGUGAAAUCCCCGGGCUCAACCUGGGAAUUGCAUCUGUGACUGUAUAGCUAGAGUACGGUAGAGGGGGAUGGGAUUCCGCGUGUAGCAGUGAAAUGCGUAGAUAUGCGGAGGAACACCGAUGGCGAAGGCAAUCCCCUGGACCUGUACUGACGCUCAUGCACGAAAGCGUGGGGAGCAAACAGGAUUAGAUACCCUGGUAGUCCACGCCCUAAACGAUGUCAACUGGUUGUUGGGUGCAUUAGUACUCAGUAACGAAGCUAACGCGUGAAGUUGACCGCCUGGGGAGUACGGCCGCAAGGUUGAAACGUCAAAGUAUAGUGCGNGAGAGAGCGACGACGACGACGACGGAGGAGGAGG